Molecule: ribosomal RNA, 254 nt
Filed under: uncultured bacterium
Lineage: Bacteria
Description: partial 16S ribosomal RNA
Rfam family: Bacterial small subunit ribosomal RNA
Source: RNAcentral
UACAGAGGUGGCAAGCGUUGUUCGGAAUUACUGGGCGUAAAGGGCGCGUAGGCGGCCUCGCAAGUCCCGUGUGAAAUCCCUCGGCUCAACUGAGGAAUGGCACGGGAAACUGCGGGGCUUGAGUUCGGGAGAGGGAAGCGGAAUUCCGGGUGUAGCGGUGAAAUGCGUAGAGUAUCCGGAGGAACACCGGUGGCGAAGGCGGCUUCCUGGACCGAUACUGACGCUGAGGCGCGAAAGCUAGGGGAGCAAACGGG